GAAACAGUUUCAUCUAUCAAAUCAAUCCAAACUUUUGUCAAUAAAUGUUUGAGAAACAUCCCCAACAUCAGAUGGCCAAACAAAAUAUGGCCAAUAAUGAGUUAUGGAGACGAACCAAACAACAGCCAACAACUCAGAAAAUAAGAACAAGAAAGUGGAAGUGGAUCGGGAAUACCCUCAGAAAAAAAGACACAAACAUCUCCAAGGCAGCAAGCCCUAGAAUGGAACCAUAAGGACAUCCAAAAAGGGGGUGGCCAAAAAACACCUGGCGUAGAGGACUUACAACCGAGCUGAGUAAAAUUGGGAAGACCUGGAAAGAAUCAAAACGAACAGCC
Molecule: long non-coding RNA, 335 nt
Filed under: Mytilus galloprovincialis (Mediterranean mussel)
Lineage: Eukaryota; Metazoa; Mollusca; Bivalvia; Mytilida; Mytilidae
Source: RNAcentral